Molecule: ribosomal RNA, 440 nt
Filed under: uncultured bacterium
Lineage: Bacteria
Description: bacterial SSU rRNA
Rfam family: Bacterial small subunit ribosomal RNA
Source: RNAcentral
CCUACGGGAGGCUGCAGUCGAGGAUCUUCGGCAAUGGGCGCAAGCCUGACCGAGCGACGCCGCGUGUGCGAUGAAGGCCUUCGGGUUGUAAAGCACUGUCGAGGGGGAGGAAAGCCCGAAAGGGUCUGACCUAUCCCUGGAGGAAGGACGGGCUAAGUUCGUGCCAGCAGCCGCGGUAAGACGAACCGUCCUAACGUUGUUCGGAAUCACUGGGCUUAAAGGGCGCGUAGGCGGGCGAUCAAGUCAGGGGUGAAAUCUUUCGGCUUAACCGGAAAAUAGCUUUUGAUACUGAUCGUCUUGAGGGAGGUAGGGGUUGCUGGAACUUCUGGUGGAGCGGUGAAAUGCGUUGAUAUCAGAAGGAACGCCGGUGGCGAAAGCGAGCAACUGGAUCUCUUCUGACGCUGAGGCGCGAAAGCUAGGGUAGCGAACGGGAUUAGAUA